RNAcentral lists this transfer RNA (77 nucleotides) under Clostridiales bacterium. Its description in RNAcentral is "tRNA-Met". It matches the Rfam family "tRNA". From Rfam's summary of the family: Transfer RNA (tRNA) molecules are approximately 80 nucleotides in length. Their secondary structure includes four short double-helical elements and three loops (D, anti-codon, and T loops). Further hydrogen bonds mediate the characteristic L-shaped molecular structure. tRNAs have two regions of fundamental functional importance: the anti-codon, which is responsible for specific mRNA codon recognition, and the 3' end, to which the tRNAs corresponding amino acid is attached (by aminoacyl-tRNA synthetases). tRNAs cope with the degeneracy of the genetic code in two manners: having more than one tRNA (with a specific anti-codon) for a particular amino acid; and 'wobble' base-pairing, i.e. permitting non-standard base-pairing at the 3rd anti-codon position. The record is from RNAcentral. Lineage: Bacteria; Bacillati; Bacillota; Clostridia; Eubacteriales.
GGCGAAAUAGCUCAGUUGGCUAGAGCAACCGGUUCAUACCCGGUUUGUCGUUGGUUCAAAUCCGACUUUCGCUACCA